UCUUAUUUUUUCUUGAAGAAAAGGUAGAAUAUUUAAUUUUAGAAUAUCAAGUUUCAUAUUUUAUUUAAAUUAAAUGACCUUGGAACCUCUAUUAUGCCGCGCGCGCUGAAUUUUGUUUUCACAUGGCUAGUCUCAUAAUAUUGCCGUCAGAUAGCGUUACGAAUACCGUUUGUUCACGUUCUAGACUUAAGUGCUCACCAUAAGUAGAUAAAACUAGUCGCAGCUGAUUUGCGCAGCUGAGUUGUCUACUUAUUUACACGUUUGUGAUAUUCGUGAAGUGUUAAUGAAGUGUUUUGUGGUAAGCGGAAUGGCGUUGCAGUGAAGAUCCGUCGGCCGUCGUCCGUCGUCCGUCGGCUUUCCUCCCAAUGAGCAAUCAAGACUUGCCUUUUAUUUGCGGUGUUGAUGUUCAUUUUCAAAUUACAAGAUUGCUGCGGUUUUAUUGCCGGUUACUGUGUGACUUUGUCGGUCAAUCGAAUACAUAUUCCUGCCAUGUUUUUUCCGUCAUUAGGAGUUCUUUUCGUGCUUGAGUAAGUAACUUUUAUCUGACCAUUUCGAAUGUUUGUUUUCUCCGAUGUGUGAAUAUAUUAUUAUUUUAUUGUAUCAUAGAGUAUAAAUUAAAGCAAUAUUUGAGAUUUGAUAGGCAUUAUUAAAUUGCUUAUGACUGACAUUUUCAUGCAAUAUCAAGUUUGUUGCAUAUAUGAUAAAAUGUGUUUAAAAUUUAAACCUGCUAUUAGUAGAUAGUCGGUUAGAUGGCACUACGACGCACGUUUUCGCGUUAAAUAUUGCUUGUUGGUGGUAGUGAGUGCACACCGUGUCCGUGUGCGAUCACGCGAUUUCGCACAAGAGAUAAGUUUGUUUACCUGCUGAUAUCACAUCUUACAGUUCAUAUUGGCAUCGUCUAAGCAAGUAUUCUUCAAUUCUCAAGUCAUGAAUAUAACUAACAAUUUUACAUUAGGUGUAAUAGUUUAUUAUAAAAAUCUAAACAUUAAAUUUAUUGCGAGAAAUAUCCGUAACGCGAGUUAUUGAAAGUUGUGUGUGUGUGUCGUAGUACUUGUAUAUUAAGAAUUAGGGGUAGAAGUAACUCGUGUUCAGGGUACCGUACGGAGAUAGCGGUAGAAGUGACUCGUGUUCACGGCACCGUACGAAGGUAGCGGUAGAAGUGACUCGUGUUCAGGGCACCGUUCGAAGGUAGCGGUUAGAGGUCACUCGUGUUCAGGGCACCGUACGAAGGUAGCGGUAGAAGUGACUCGUGUUCAGGGCACCACACGAAGGUAGCGGUAGAAGUGACUCGUGUUCAGGGCACCGUACGAGGCUAGCGGUAAAAGUGACUCGUGUUUACGGCACCCUACGAAGGUAGCGGUUGAAGUGACUCGUGUUCAGGGCACCCUACGAAGAUAUACUUAUUUUGCCUAUUUUAAUACUUUAUUUUAUAGAUAUAUUAAUAGUCGCGGUGUUGUAAACAUCAAUUAUUUAAUUAACUAAGAUAUACAGUAAUCUUAUUCGAAGACAAUUAGAAAAUAAUAAAUUAUUUAUUUAUUUGUAUUGGUACAUUACAAAUUCCUGUUUAUCUUUAUUCUUAUUGCGUCCAAAACCAAUAUAUUCUUUUCUUAUGCCGAGAAAUAUUGAAAGUAAAAGCAUAUUUCGUAUAUUGUGAAUUUUUACUUUCGUCUUCUCAACUACGUGUUUACCACUUCGUUUGUGUAUAAACAACUUUUUGUUCGACUGACGCUACGUACGCUAUCGCUUAUCGCUACGUACCUGCCUUGUACCUGGUUUCGCGCAGCGCACACGGGAGUCGUUUCACCGCGUAGUCCGCGAACGCGUGUCUCUAAUCGCCACGCGUUUUCAGACUUAAAUUAUUCAAUUAAUCAUCGUGUAUUCUUUUCGUCAUCAACAAAAUAUUCGAAACGAGCAUGUGUGCCUGUUUUGUUUGAUGAGUUGUGGCGGUUAGACUGUUCUUAAGUGAGAUAUAAGUGUCCGUUAAUCUCUGCGCGAGUUUUCAGUUGAUCAGAUUUAUUUCUGGGUCAAAAAUUUCUUCAUCAAUGCACUGGUACGUGUUUAAUCACUUUUUUUCGCGGAUAGUUAAGACGGUUUAACUUAAAUUGAUUAUUCCAUUUGAGGGAUAUUAAUUUUGCAGAUUACAAACACGUGGUAGCAUUUUUAUCAAAAUUCUCAGUCCUGUUACCGAAAAUAACAUGCAUAAUUUAAUUAUUACAAACACUGUCUUAAAAAGUAUCUGAGGAUUAUUAAAAUGACAAUAUUCAUGUGGUCGACCACGCUCACUUUGCCGUCGACCGUCGGCUCGUUCCUCUUUUCGCUGAACGAAAUCUAAUUACACUCCUUAUCAUCAUUAAAUUAAAAAGUUUCUUGUUGAUCUAAUAUAAUCUUAUACGUUGAAAAGUUUUUCGCUAUAAUAGUUUCCAUAUAUCUUAAUAUUUACAAGUAAAUAGUUAUUUUUAUCGUAUUUACAUACGCUUGCCGUCUGCUGAUUUGGAUGUUUUCCGCCUGAUGUUCUAUCAAUUUAUGAUGAUGCUUCACCCGUCGGUUACCUUAUGCAGUUGAUGAUAUCAACUGAUAAAUAUAUACACAAUAUAUCAAAAUGUAAGUGUUUUAUUCUUAUAGCAACUUUUUUACUUAACUUUUCCGAUGAUUUUUGGGUAAAAUCUUUGAAUUUAUGUUAAAAUAUAGUUGUUUCGGUAUAAAUUUCUUUCGUCAUGAUGUGAAUGUUGAUCAUAUUUGUAAUUUUUAAAAUUUUCCUUUUGUAUCACCCUGUAUAUAUGUUUUCCUAACAGUACUUUAGUAAAUAGCCUUUAUUUGUGAGUUUUGAGUGUUCUUUGUUUUAAACUUGGGAUUUUUAAGUUUUUUGUAACACCCUGUUUAAUAAUUUCCCGGAGCAUCGGGUGGAAACGAGCAAUAUUUGUAGUGUUUUCCUUUUUUGGUUGAAUUUUCUAUAUGUGACACCGUGAAAAAACAGCGAUAUUUGAGUGUUUAGAUGAUUUCCUGUCUGCACCUAAUUUUCUUUUGUAACACCCUGUAUAUUUAUUUCCGUUUUCAAUCACGAUGAUAAUUGACUUUGCUAAUUGCUUUAUCCCGCUAGAACUUCACUAAGUGGUACGCGGUUGCUUGCGCUGUUUAGCAGGUCGUAAGUCCUGUUUCAAUAUGCCAGCAUGAAUUUUGUUGACUUGUAAAAUCUAUACUUGUAUUAUUUUACAUUGUAUUUAUUAAUAAAGAAAUGUUAAGAAAUA
This is a long non-coding RNA of Dalotia coriaria, 3245 nucleotides long. RefSeq lists it as uncharacterized. The transcript has 2 exons. The record is from RefSeq and is a predicted model, not a curated record. Lineage: Eukaryota; Metazoa; Arthropoda; Insecta; Coleoptera; Staphylinidae.